Molecule: ribosomal RNA, 253 nt
Filed under: uncultured bacterium
Lineage: Bacteria
Description: partial 16S ribosomal RNA
Rfam family: Bacterial small subunit ribosomal RNA
Source: RNAcentral
UACGUAGGGGGCAAGCGUUGUCCGGAAUCAUUGGGCGUAAAGCGCGUGUAGGCGGCUCGAUAAGUCCGCUGUGAAAGUCCAGGGCUCAACCCUGGGAUGCCGGUGGAUACUGUCGAGCUCGAGUCCGGAAGAGGCGAGUGGAAUUCCUGGUGUAGCGGUGAAAUGCGCAGAUAUCAGGAGGAACACCAAUUGCGAAGGCAGCUCGCUGGGACGUUACUGACGCUGAGACGCGAAAGCGUGGGGAGCAAACAGG